Molecule: ribosomal RNA, 501 nt
Filed under: uncultured bacterium
Lineage: Bacteria
Description: partial 16S ribosomal RNA
Rfam family: Bacterial small subunit ribosomal RNA
Source: RNAcentral
AUUGAACGCUGGCGUCAUGCCUUACACAUGCAAGUCGAACGGCAGCACGGGUGCUUGCACCUGGUGGCGAGUGGCGAACGGGUGAGUAAUACAUCGGAACGUACCUUAUCGUGGGGGAUAACGCAGCGAAAGCUGUGCUAAUACCGCAUACGCCCUGAGGGGGAAAGCGGGGGAUCGAAAGACCUCGCGCGAUUAGAGCGGCCGAUGCCUGAUUAGCUUGUUGGUGGGGUAAAAGCCCACCAAGGCGACGAUCAGUAGCUGGUCUGAGAGGACGAUCAGCCACACUGGGACUGAGACACGGCCCAGACUCCUACGGGAGGCAGCAGUGGGGAAUUUUGGACAAUGGGGGCAACCCUGAUCCAGCAAUGCCGCGUGAGUGAAGAAGGCCUUCGGGUUGUAAAGCUCUUUUGUCAGGGAAGAAACACCGGCUCUAACACAGUCCGGGAAUGACGGUACCGGAAGAAUAAGGACCGGCUAACUACGUGCCAGCCGCCGCCGUAA